AAACAAAUGAAGUUUUCUUUAUUGGGGUUGCGGACAUAUCAUAACGAAGAGGUAUCGUAAUUGAAGAGGUUUGGAAAGACCCACCACAGAAGGUAAUAGUCCUGUAUGUUAAACGAGAAAACUUUAGAUAUGAUCCAGAGUACCACGGGACACGUGAAACCCUGUGGGAAGCAGGAGGGACCACCCUCCAAGGCUAAAUACUACCUAGUGACCGAUAGCGUAUAGUACCGUGAGGGAAAGGUGAAAAGAACCCCGGGAGGGGAG
RNAcentral lists this ribosomal RNA (264 nucleotides) under Clostridioides difficile. RNAcentral describes it as "partial 23S ribosomal RNA". It matches the Rfam family "Bacterial large subunit ribosomal RNA", at positions 271 to 538 of the family's 2925-position model. Lineage: Bacteria; Bacillati; Bacillota; Clostridia; Peptostreptococcales; Peptostreptococcaceae. The record is from RNAcentral.